CUUGGUCAUUUAGAGGAAGUAAAAGUCGUAACAAGGUUUCCGUAGGUGAACCUGCGGAAGGAUCAUUAAAGAGACGUUGCCCUUCGGGGUAUACCUCCCACCCUUUGUUUAUUUAUACCUUUGUUGCUUUGGCAGACCCGGCUUCGGCCCACCGGCUCCGGCUGGUCAGUGUCUGCCAGAGGACCUAAAACUCUGUUUGUUAAUAUUGUCUGAGUACUAUAUAAUAGUUAAAACUUUCAACAACGGAUCUCUUGGUUCUGGCAUCGAUGAAGAACGCAGCGAAAUGCGAUAAGUAAUGUGAAUUGCAGAAUUCAGUGAAUCAUCGAAUCUUUGAACGCACAUUGCGCCCUCUGGUAUUCCGGGGGGCAUGCCUGUUCGAGCGUCAUUACAACCCUCAAGCUUUGCUUGGUAUUGGACAUUGCCAGUUUCUGGCAGGUCUUAAAUCAGUGGCGGCGCCAUUUGGCUUCAAGCGUAGUAAUUCUUCUCGCUUUGGAGAUCCAGGUGGUUACUUGCCAAUAACCCCCAAUUUUUUCAGGUUGACCUCGGAUCAGGUAGGGAUACCCGCUGAACUUAAGCAUAUCAAUAAGCGGAGGA
RNAcentral lists this ribosomal RNA (594 nucleotides) under uncultured Thelebolaceae. RNAcentral describes it as "eukaryotic LSU rRNA". The stretch from base 232 to 385 matches the Rfam family "5.8S ribosomal RNA". The record is from RNAcentral. Lineage: Eukaryota; Fungi; Ascomycota; Leotiomycetes; Thelebolales; Thelebolaceae.